Long non-coding RNA from Gasterosteus aculeatus aculeatus (three-spined stickleback), 9172 nucleotides. The record is from Ensembl. Lineage: Eukaryota; Metazoa; Chordata; Actinopteri; Perciformes; Gasterosteidae.
UUUGAUAUAAGAUCUCCCUAACAACUAAUAAUAUACUCACUCUUCUCAGCAAAUGCGGCUGCCCUAAAGGAGAAAAGAAUCAAUAUAGAAAUGAUUACAGUUAUUUGGACGUAACUAAAAAAUAUGAAUGUUAAAAACCUAGUGUUCUUUUCAAAUAACUCACUUAAGUCUCAGGUACUCUUCAUAGGCGUCGGUGUAUGCUGCAAAAAUAAAAGUGAGCUCGGGACUUUCAUCUCAGAAAAGGUUUUAGAGGAACUCAAAAAUCAGAAUAUAUAAAUACAUGCAAGAAUAAAUACAAUAAAAGCUAAAAUAUAAAAUAAUACCCUUCGAUGUCACAUGUGAUAUCUCGUUACCUUGUCCGGAGAGGUCGAAGGCUCUGGUGUGGGUCUGCACGCCGUCUGAGAUCUCGAUGGAGUAGCUGCCCUUCUCCUUGUCGGAGGGAUCGCAGAUCUGCAUCCAGGCCAUCUCCGCCGUGCCUCCGAUCCGCAUCUUCUCCGAGGAGGCGAUCUUACUCUCCCUGCAGGCGUUUCAUCACAAGUCACAGGGGCAGACUCCGAACGUCUACUGGGAGACGUGACUUUUGAUGGGAGCUAAUGGGAAACGUCAUACUGGUUCCCUCAUUGUUGCAGAAAAUAAAUGUUUAUAAAACUUAUUUAACACAGAAAGAUAAUCAUCACAAAUGAACAGUACUUUGCUCAUUUAGAUGCUUUUUUAAGACACGUAAACGCUUCUAACGCCACUAGAGCAGCGUUGACUGACCUUUUUUAUGUUGUAAUAACCAUUGACUUCCAGAGCAGGAAAAGUGUCGAAACACAAACUCAUUUCUAGUUGUUAGAACUUAUUAUUGGACACAAAAUCUUCAAAGGGAGAAGAGCGACCUCAUUAAAUUGAACUCAAGUGAUCGAUAUCUAAAUGAGUGACACUGAUAUUUACUACCCAUAAACUACAGAAUAAAAACAGGGGAGGGGCGUUGUGUUAGAUUAACCGUACUUGUGUUUCCAGACGGUCUUCAUCUCCUCUGUGUAGUAGCUCAUGUAGCACUGCAGCCUGAUGCCCUCCGGAGUGCACUGCAGCACCAGCUCAGAGGCCGAGGCGCCUGCAAGACCAACCGCAGGUCACACAGGCGAACGUUGCAUUACACGGUACACUUUGGUGUAUUUAUGUUCCGCCAUUUCCGGUAGAGUUUUAGUAUCAAAUGAUAUUUAUUUAAAUUGAAAUGAUUUAAGAUUUGCAUGACUUAUUUGACACCUUGAUCACAUUAUAUUGAUCAGCUAAUCAAACUUACCAGCAAUCUUGGCGAUGGCAUUGAUGAUGUCAUCAAACACUGAAAAUUACACACACGUACGUUAUACUUUAUAACAGGAAUCACAACUACAAAUCUAAAUCUUCUAGAAUUGAUUUUAAAUUCUUCUGCUUAAUAAAGCAGUAACGUUUUGCAACACGUCCACAUGACACCACAGAGGAUGAACAGUAGGCUGAUUUAUGGAAGAAUAAAGAAUCAAAAAUAAGGUAAAUCAGAAAUUAAACACACACAAAAAUAUAAAUAGCCAGUGGCGGAUUUCUCUGAAUACAAAACCCUUUGAACUGCAUGUAAUGUAGGAAAAGUGUCUGAAGAGCAUUUGUAUUGUUACCGUUGCCUGAUAUGUCAAACAGAGACGUGUCCUUCCCUCUGUCGUCACUGAGCACGGCCUUGAAGACGCCUUGAUCCUUCCUGGAAAACUGGAAAAAACAACAACAUUCUUACCAUACCAACAAGCUGCACGGACAUAAAACAUCUGUACACAAAGGUACAUAUAAAUACCAACCUGAAUAUAUGAAUAAAAUACGCUAUUGAGAGAGAUUAUUAAUAGUAUUAAUUAUAUAAGUAAUUAUAACUCUGUUGAGUUUUAGCUUCUUCAACUCUUAUACAAGGUAUGUACACUCCUGCAUGUCCGUGUGUAUCUAUGUACACGGGUACAGAUGUAGAUGUGUGCGUAGGUGUGGAUGCUGCAGUGGUUACCAUGGGGACGGGCAGAGCGACGGCUCCAGACAUCACAUUCACUGGGGUUUCUGGAAAAAUCUCAUCGUCCUCUUUGUACCAGUGGAAGGACGUCUCCUUCUUCACAUUGGCCACCUAAAAAACAAACAAACAAACAAACAAAUAAACAAAACACAUUUGUUAUGUUGCAAUAAAAAGAAGCAAUUGGAAAGACUGUUUGUAGCUGGUGAUUAAAGUUGUACCUUGCAGGCGAGCAUGACGGUGCAAUCCUCAGAGACGGUGAAGUACAGAUACUCAGAGAAAUGUGGACCUAAAGUGAAGAGGAGCAGCAAUAUUAUAUACUGUAUAUACACAUAUAUAUAUAUAUAUAUAUAUGCAAUGAAAAGCUUGUGAUUGUGCAAGCGAUGUUUGGUACGGUUUCCAUGGCGACGUGUAGUUACCUUGCUUCCUGAUGUGCUCUUUCCUCUGAAACUCGGCCUCCUUUAGAGCAGCUUUGAACACUGAAACGGGGGAAAACAGUCGUCUAUAUUCUAGAAUUGUAUAGUUGAAUGAAAGUUAUACUCAAUUAAAGCACUUGUGUAAAGUUACUUUCCACCAUUGAUUUCAUUUCAUGUAAAAAGUGUGUGAUGAGACUGGCACAAAAUGCAUUCUGGACAUCCUUAAAUAAAUGCUGCGCCCUGAGAGAAUAAAUCCCCCGUAACUGCCUCUCUCACUCCGGCGGGACUCACCGUCUCCCACCAGCACCAGGGAGCUCUGCGUCUUGGCCUUGCCGUCGUGGAUCUGCACCGUGUAGGUUCCCUCGUUGGCUCUGGUGAAGUGAUCCAGCGUCAUCUGGAUGACCCCCGAGGGCACGUCGUGGCUGAUCUUGAUGCCCUGAGGGGGAAGAAACGAUUGCCAUACGGCCAGCGUCCGCCUUUACAUCCUGGUGGUCACCAUGUGAAUCUUUGUCACGGCGCCGAGAUCAACCUGAAGGCUGAGACUUUAUCAUAAAGUAACUAGAGCUCUAAAAUAACUGCAGUGAAGUAAAUUUGUUCUCUAUAGAGUCGUACUGAAGGAGUAAGACAGAUGUUUUGGAGUGUGGUUGUGUAAGUGGAAGCUAUAUUUAGAAUAUUUUGUGCGUUAUCUCAUUGUCACCCUGUUAUCUUUGCUCUCCUCACAGCCAACAGACUCCACUGACAAAAACAGACCGUGUAGAACUCUGGAGUUCCUCCGUUGCCUCGGCCUGUUAGUUAGUUAUUACUUUGUGUCAUUGUGACACUUUAAUGCGCAACAUUUCAUUAAAACACAGAAGUCCCACGAGAACCCUUUGAUCUUAAAGCUUAAAACACUGGUUUUGUGAAUGGAGUCUGGUGGUCUGGUGAGAGCAAAGAAAUCAGUCCGUCGGCAAGAUAAAGCAGUUAAAACAUAGUAAAUAUAUCAGAAACAUGAGCUAAUAUCUGUUGUUCUAUGUGUCUAAAAUAGGUCCUCGGCUUAAAGAGCUCCAUCCACAGCAGCAAAACUACGGAGAAGAACUCACUCAAAAACAUCCAAACUCUCAAAGCUCGCGUUACCUCGCCGCUGUGGACCUCCUUGUCGUUGACGAUGACCCGGUAGGACACAGAGGGCGACAGUUUGACGGCCUGCAGCCAGAAACGCACGUGACCUUUCUCCAAAACCUCGUAAUUCAGGCCGUGUUUCAGAGGAACGACUGCACGGGAACAAACACACACACACACACACACACACACACACACACACAUUAGGAUCCGGAGGAAACGGGGCGGAGGUGAAGACAGGAGGAGCACGGUACUCACCGGGGUGUUGGAUGGCGUAGCUGAGCUCCAGCAUCGUGUUCAGGGCUGUGGAAUGGAUCCAAGACGACAAACGUGAGCCCGAAAACAAACAACAACAACAACAGCAACAAAAUAGGAGGGGCCGGCGUACCGUCCUCAGUCAGCGUGUGGCUGGCAGAGACUCCGUCCGUGUCCGUGACCACCACGGAGUACCGGCCCAGGUCGUCUUUGUCCGGGUUGGUGAAAGUCAGCCUGGAGCUGGAAAUCCAAUAAAAUCCAUCAAAGACCCAUUAAAGUCCAUUAAAAUCCGUUAAAAGUCUGUUAAAAUCCGUUAAAAGUCUAAGCUAGAAUAACACCGGGGCAAACUAUUUGUUUUAUAAUUGUGAUAUAAAUAUAUAAAUAAUAAUAUAUAUAAAUAUGAGUAAACACGUGAGGUUGCAUUCUCACGUACGUGCGGCCCUUGGUGGUGACGGCGACCCUCGGGCAGUCGCCGAUGGCUCUGUAGUUCUUGGACCAAACGAACUUGGAGGUCUCAGAGAUCUCGCAGGCCUCCAGAGACAGGAAGAUGUCUCCGGUCUCCUCGUCCACGCCGGCCACCAGCUCCUGAGUGCCUGAGACCAAUAAAACCAUUUAUGUGUACAUCUUACAAAAUGACCCGCUGCAAACAACUGCCCCAAUCUGUCAACAAUUCCCCAAAUAAAUGUGUGCUCCAAUUAUUUGGGAUGUUUGUGUUGCUAAGAAAAUAUUCUCCCAGCACAUUUAAGAUUCAAUCAAUUCUGAAUUUAAAGUAUAAAUACUGUACACUUUACUUGGGUAUAUUAAUAAUAAUACAAUAACAUUGUGACAUUGAGGCAAUAUUGUGACAUUAAUGGGUUAAUAACUAAGAUAAAAGUCUACUACUUAAACUUCAGUCAGAAUUGAUAAUUAUCAUAUUUUAUAGCUGAAAUUCAGUUGUGAACCUUUUAAAUAUUCAAUUACUACCUGUAAACACUCAAUGUCUCCAGGCCUCUGUGGGUUUAAAGAUUAAUCACAAGGGAUUUUUCCUUUGCUGAUGACAGAGGACGUCGCGUGUUUACAGACUGUAAAGCUUUCUGAUGUAUUUUGAUUUUGACAAAAUUAACUGAUGUUAAUGUUUAAGCGCGUCUCUGUAACUGUAAAUGGUGUUUAGUGAGAUGGAGUGACGUGAGAGAAGGGUAUGUUGUUGUUGUUGUUGUUGUUGACACAACAAGGUGUGACCCAGAACAAACCAGUGGUGCUUAGUGGUGGUUACCUGGCAGAGCUUUGGCACAGACCGGCUCAGACGCCUGGGACGGUUUCCCGACCCCGUUGGCGUUGAUGGACCGGACUCUGAAGACGUAGGCUUCCCCUUCCUCCAGACCAGUCACCUGCAGGAAACCACGGUAACCACGGUAACCACGGAAGCACAACGUCACAGGCUCCGCGCGGAUGUUUUCAUUGACAGCAAAACUAUUAAAGACGAGAUAUAAAGCAUCAUUUUUUUCCCGUUGCGUUGUUGGCUUUAAUUGGCGGUGGUUUUGGCGCUCCCUGUGGAGGACAGCGGUAGUGUUCUUAGACUAUUUCUACUGCAGCAGGUCAGACGGGCUGAGGGUCUGUGUGAUGUCACCUCGGUCUAUAUUCUAGUUAAAAACAGAGUUCUGUUCGUUGGCCUGGUUAACUUCUGCCGGCCUCCUACCUGCAGGUAACGAUGGCUCACGGCCUCCUGGUUCAGAGUAGCAAACUCCGAUGAGCCUUUCUUGGCCAUCUCCACCACGUAUCCAGUCACUGCACUGGCCCCGGUGUAGACCGGAGCCUUCCACAGGAUGACCAGGGACUGACCUCUGACCUCGCUGAAGCUCAGGUCGUAGGCCGGGCCUGGAGGACGGGCGUAGGAUAACAGGAAGAUGAGCAGAAAGGAACGAUGUCUGCACAUUGUUGUCAUUAUUGUAGAAGCAGCGGCGGUCCUCCACCUGGCUCGUCCAUGGUCCCACGCUUCACAUUUCAUCGGAGCGCUGGGAGCACUGGGAACGCCGACACCGGCCAUGUUAGCGGGCCUGGAUCUUAAACUCGUAGAAGACUCCCUCCGUCAGAUUGUCAAUCUGAAGAUACAGAGAGAGCGAGAAAAACAGAGAGUCUCUGUUUCUAUAAUCCAGAGUGUGAUUGUUUCUAUAAUCCAGAGUGAUUGGUUCUAUAAUACAGUGUGAUUGUUACUAUAAUCCAGUGUGAUUGUUACUAUAAUCCAGUGUGAUUGGUUCUAUAAUCCAGAGUGUGAGUGUUACUAUAAUCCAGUAUGAUUGUUUCUAUAAUACAGAGUGUGAUUGUUACUAUAAUCCAGUGUGAUUGUUUCUAUAAUCCAGUGUGAUUGGUUCUAUAAUCCAAUGUGAUUGUUUCUAUAAUCCAGAGUGUGAUUGGUUCUAUAAUCCAGGGUGAUUGUUUCCAUGCAGUGUGAUAUGAGCCCACUCACGCUGCAGAGCCUCUCUGUGACCCCCGUCAUGUUGACCUCGUUCCACAGCAGCGUGUCGGCGUUCCUCUUGUCGAUGUAGUAGGCGUUGAUCUUGGAGCCCCCGCAGUGGGCGGGGCUCUUCCAGGCCAAGGUCAUGGAGGAGCCGUCGCAGCUCAGCAUGGUGAUGCCGAACGGAGCGCUGGGAGUCGCUGCAUCACAGAGAACCUUCAUGUUUAAUAUCAGAGGCUUAACAACCGUUAAGAGCUUUAAAAAAGUAUGUACGUGAGAAAAACAUCCGUGUUUCACUACUUGACUUUACUGUGAGAGUGAAAGUAUCCAUAAUGAAUUAUAAUCAUACUUACAAUAUGUUAAACUCUGCUUAUAGCACAUUAUACUCACACACUUUAUAUCAGUAAUGAUUACACAUUAUAAACCAAAUAGUAACUUACAAGGUCAAAUGAAGAAAUACUUUAAGACCAACAAUUAAAGUUCAUAAUUGUUGGUCUUAGAUAUUGUUAUUAUUAUUAGACGGUUAUUAAUAGGAUGACAAAAUACUAAUAAUAAAAAAGCUUUUAAAUGUGUUGUUGCUAUAAAGCAUUUUUCUCUGAGUGGUUAUAACUAUAAUUGUACAGUUCUGUAUGCAGACGAUAACACAUUGUGAAUAUGUUCAUAAUGUAUAUAGAUGUGGACGUGUUAAAUAUAUCAAAUAAAUAAACACGUCUCAUAACUGAACAUAAACAAAAUACCAUCUUUCUUUGACUGUGACAUUUCACAUGUGAUUAAAGCUCACGAUGCACAGUGACAGUGCACAAAGUGAGGGAGUCAGGAGGGGGGAAAUCAGCUGUUUCCCUACGUACCAUAUUCCCCCCCCGGGCCUGGAUAGAGUGAUGAAAUGAACACAACAAUGAACACAACAUAUGACAUCACCAUCAACCUCCCAUCACCCCCUUCGUUUACCUUUCACUCUGUAAGUCUUUAAGCAGAGCUUAUAAUAAAGAAAUAUUAAGAUAAAGGUAUAUUUUAAUAGGGGUAUAUUAGGAUAAAGUUAUAUUAUAAUUAUAAUGUAAGUUAUAUAUUGUUAGGUAUAUUGUAAUAAAGGUAUAUUAGGAUAAAGGUAUAUUAGCAUAAAGGUAUAUUGUGAUAAAGGUAUAUUAGUAUAAAGGUAUAUUGUAAUAAAGGUAUAUUAGGAUAAAGGAAAAUUAGGAUAAAGGUAUAUUGUAAUAAAGGUAUAUUAGGAUAAAGGUAUAUUGUAAUAAAGGUAUAUUAGGAUAAAGGUAUAUUAGGAUAAAGGUAUAUCAGGAUAAAGGUAUAUUGUAAUAAAGGUAUAUUAGGAUAAAGGUAUAUUGUAAUAAAGGUAUAUUAGGAUAAAGGUAUAUUGUAAUAAAGGUGUAUCAGGUAAAGGGGGGGUCUCUUACAGAGGGUCGGCUCCACGGAGAUGGGAGAGGACUCCUGAGACUCCUCGCUGAGGCCGAACACGUUGACGGCCUGGACGCGGAACGUGUAGGUUUCUCCUGGGAUGAGCCCGUGCACCACGAACCUGAAGCACGCACACACACACAGACACACACACAUUAUUCUUCAGUCACAGUCACCAUGAUCUUUUGUGCCUAAUAGUGUUGCCAACAUUACUCAUGUGUAUGCAAAUUAUUUCUCUCCGUAGACACUUUAAAACAUAAUACGUAACAUUUGUACAUGAUCAACGAGUCGAAUUAGGACAAAUCCAUCCAGUACAUCAGCUUGUGUCGUCACUUAGAACACCGGCCUUUUUGGCCCAGAAACUCCAAAAGAACUCUGAGAUACAACAAAAGCUUUCACAGGUGUCGAGACCCCUCCUCUGCAGGUGGACCUCAUUGAGGGGGGGGGGGGGGGGUACCUGGAUUGCUUGAAGGGUUUGUGGUUGCAGGGGAACCAGUCCUUGGUCCCGGCGACGCGGCGUCGAUGUAGUAGCCCACCAGGUUCUUCGGAUGACUCGGGGGGUCCCACUGCACGAACACGGAGGACUUGGUGUUCCUGGGGGCCACCACCUGACCGGGAGCAGAGGGGACGCCUGUCGGGGGGGGUGACAUGUAGACGUGAGAACACAUUGGACAUUCUAGGGAAAAGGACCCGUGGACAUCUGUACAGAGUCAACGAGGGGCUCGCUGCACUGCGUCGGGGCAGCUGUCAAUCACAGGAAUCAAACGCACAACCCGUGUUUAUGCCUUCUGCAAAGUGAGCGGCUGCAGGUCACAAUGACCGACAACUAUUAAACGUGCGAAGACAAAGAAGCGUCAGGAGGACCAACAAAUGUGGGGGGGGGGGGAACAUGACAUGUGGUUUUGUUUUAAGGAUCCGUGACAGAAGAGUGAAGUUAGAGAACAUUUGACUUGAGAGAUGCGAGACUGUGAUGUAAAACAAACAACAAUAUCUUUUGUUUCCAAAUAGCGGCUACACACCAAUAAUAAGGCUGCACAAUGCAUGCUGGGAUACGAGCCUGAUGGAGAUAGGAUGACAUAUAUAUAUAUUUAUAUAUACUGAAUCCUCUCCCCAGGGCGAGGAGUGAAGGGACCUGUGAGGUCACAAUGGCGUGAAUCAGUGUUUAAGUUGAACUGUACGUACCCAGCGGCCCCCCAGCACCUGUAACACACCGCACGUCCACCAGAGCUCAACGAACGCACUUUAAACCAAGAUGAACUACAAGUCCCUCAGGAAGCCUCCGGCGAUUUGGGUUGUUUGAAACCGCCGGGGAGCGUACGGCGAAAUGAAGAUAUCACAUAAAAGCUGUCAGGACGUGUUUGCACGCCUUACCGUCCUCGCCCCCCCUCUGGGCGGGCUCCGAGGGCUCCGAGGCCUCGCUGGAGCCGAACCGGUUGACCGCGGUCACUCGGAAGCGGUACCUUUGCCCCUCUUGCAAAUCAAAAACCGGGUAGCGGGGCGAGUGCAGCUCGACCGCCGCGUUGAUCCGCUGCCAAGCUGCAGUGCCCGCUAAGCACUGUGGGAGAG